RNAcentral lists this ribosomal RNA (530 nucleotides) under Bifidobacterium dentium. RNAcentral's name for it is "bacterial SSU rRNA". It matches the Rfam family "Bacterial small subunit ribosomal RNA", at positions 158 to 698 of the family's 1533-position model. The record is from RNAcentral. Lineage: Bacteria; Bacillati; Actinomycetota; Actinomycetes; Bifidobacteriales; Bifidobacteriaceae.
GGGUGGUAAUGCCGGAUGCUCCGGUUGGAUGCAUGUCCUUCCGGGAAAGGUUCCAUCGGUAUGGGAUGGGGUCGCGUCCUAUCAGCUUGAUGGCGGGGUAACGGCCCACCAUGGCUUCGACGGGUAGCCGGCCUGAGAGGGCGACCGGCCACAUUGGGACUGAGAUACGGCCCAGACUCCUACGGGAGGCAGCAGUGGGGAAUAUUGCACAAUGGGCGCAAGCCUGAUGCAGCGACGCCGCGUGCGGGAUGGAGGCCUUCGGGUUGUAAACCGCUUUUGAUCGGGAGCAAGCCCUUCGGGGUGAGUGCACCUUUCGAAUAAGCACCGGCUAACUACGUGCCAGCAGCCGCGGUAAUACGUAGGGUGCAAGCGUUAUCCGGAAUUAUUGGGCGUAAAGGGCUCGUAGGCGGUUCGUCGCGUCCGGUGUGAAAGCCCAUCGCUUAACGGUGGGUCUGCGCCGGGUACGGGCGGGCUGGAGUGCGGUAGGGGAGACUGGAAUUCCCGGUGUAACGGUGGAAUGUGUAGAUAUC